Long non-coding RNA from Scophthalmus maximus (turbot), 5408 nucleotides. RefSeq lists it as uncharacterized. The record is from RefSeq and is a predicted model, not a curated record. NCBI's taxonomy places the organism in Eukaryota, Metazoa, Chordata, Actinopteri, Pleuronectiformes, Scophthalmidae. The transcript is spliced from 9 exons.
CCCGCGACAUCAAGUCAGCAGGAGGCUCCUGGCUGUCUCCAACAGCCGGGCCGAGCGGACGCCGCCCUGCCGGUUGAUGUAGGCGGCUGCCGUCUUGUUGUCUGUCCUCACUAACACAUGCUGGUCUCUCAGCAGGGGAGCGAAGUGUUGCAGCACCUUCAGCACCGUGGACAACGCCUCCCGCCUCGCGGGGGAGAGACUCGCUCUCAUGCUGGACGAGUCCAGAUACAUGAUGCACUGAGUGGGCACUGGCGAGCUCUUUCGCCAAUUUAUGGCAAAGCCCAGCAGCGUCAGGUGACUCGCGAGCUCCACCGUGUGGAGAGCCGCGCUGUGUUCGGUGGAGGCCAGAACCAGCAGGUCGUCCAGGUAAAACAUGACCCUGAUCCCGCGCCUGCGUAACGGUUCCAGUGCCGUCUCCACGCACUUGGAGAACGUGCGUGGAGCCAGAGAAUAACGGAAGGGGAGACGGUUGUAUUGGAACUGGACUCCUCUGAACGAGAAUCGCAGGAAUUUCCUGUGCCUGGGGACGAUUGGGACAUGGAAAUACGCGUCUUUCAAAUCGAUGGAUGCGAACCAGUCGCCGGAGCGCACACAUUCCAAGACAUGCUUUAUGGUGAGCAUGUGGAACGGCCUCCUCAUAAUCGAUCUGUUGACGAGAGACAGGUCGAGAAUGGGUAUCAUUCCGCCUGUCUUCUUCGGAACCAGGAAGUACCGGGAGUAAUAACCCUCGCACUCCUGGCCUGGCGGAACUCUGGAGAUGGCUUCUUUCUCCAAGAGCUCCGACAACUCUGUCAUCAGAGCCUCUGCCCCGGCCUGAGACGACAUCACAGUCUCCAGCACCCCGUCGAAUGGAGGGGGUGGGCUGGCAAACUGCAGUGUGUAGCCGUCUCUUAUCACUCUGCUCAUCCAACCGUUCACGGAGAGCAGAGUGCGCCACACCGAGGAGCGCUCUGAGAGCGGGCGUGCACACAUCUGCGGAGCCUCUGUGGACAUCACCGACAGCCAGUGAAGAGCCCUCGCCGCCGCUCCGUGAGCCGCCUGCGAGCUCAGCGAAGCCCAUGGGAGGGCUGAGUCGAAAGGGCUGGUGCGGGGAGGCCCCCGUGACAUCAGACUCCGCAUCCGAGUCGUGCCACGGAGAGAAACCACCACUAACACACACGGAUGGGUGAGAAGUGGGGAGGCCACAGAGGGGCGACAGGAAGGAACGCAAGGGGGGGAAAUGGGGCCACCUGGGCAGGCUCUUGGCCACAGCCUGGCUGCUGUAGAUAUCCCCCACCAUGGCGCUGGGGGCCAAGGGCAGGCGUGCACAGUAUGGACACGUGGCCCGAGGCGUGAGAGCUACACCGGGCAUGCAGGUCGAAGUUCAUGAUAUAUCCCGCCUGGCAGGAGGGGCAGAGGCGGACAGCGUCGGAGGAGCGAGUCGACAUCUCUAUUUUCACCUUCACUCUUCGCCUGCUGAAGAAAAAGUGGGAGCAGACAUCAGGUCACCAGGUGUUUUAUACUGUGGGAGUGGACCUGAUCAGGGCCCGGUGCACGGCACGGGGCGUAAAAGAACAUCUUCACUACUGCGCAUGCGCGAGGGAUAAACCCAAUAGCGACAGCUCUUAGAGGGCGGGGCCUAUACGAAGUAGAACGAGGGAAGUUCACGUGUUGACGGUGGACGUUGUUCUGAACUCGUCACUGGAGAAGAUGUCGAGUUCAAACCAACUGUGGACACGUUUCUGUCGAGUGUGAGUGAAAUGACCUGCGGCGUCCAGCUACUUUACCUGAUUAGUGUCCGACAUGAACAUGGUCUUUUUCAUUAUUAGUGUUUGUCUUUGACGAAAGUGUGACGACGCCAUGAACAAACAUUUGGGUGAACAUCAGGUGGAACCACGUGGGUCCUGAUGAAGAAGAGGAGAAUAAAGAGUUCACUGCAGAAAAUAUUAAGUGAUGAAAACUGUGGACGGUCGGACGUGACACUGACUCAGAUGUCGACCUGCCUGGACGUGGAUGGACAAAGACCUGGACUCAAACAGGAAGAGAUGACCUGGUGUUGAUGUGGAUCCCUGCUGAGGAGUCGUCACAGCCGAAGAAGAGAAUACUUCACUGCAAAAAUAUGACGGUAAAGUAUGAAUUUAAAACAACGAGUUAUAUUAAAAUAGGUUUUCUAACCUCUGUUCCACCCACAUACUAUUAUCAAGAAAGUAUGUGGAGACAUCAUUCUUUAAAAAUAUAAUUCUUUACAUAAACUAUAACAGCACAGAACAAUUAACAGUAAAAUUAAAAAAUAGUGAACUUGAUUCCUGCAGGAUUUUUUACUAUAAGUAGCAAUUUGUCUAAAAUAUUAUUAUAUAAUAUUAUCUUAUUAUUUUUGAGACCAUAAUUCUGUCUGUAGUAUGAUUGUCAUUUAAUUUCCACUCUUGGUUGUUCUAAUGGUCUUUUGGUCGUUUGUUAUUCUGUUCUAAUAGUCGGUUGUUUGGUUUUGGUUAGUUGGUCUGUCGUUCGUUAUUCUGUUGGUCAUAGGAACAAAUUAAAUAUAAAUCAUAACAAGGGCAGAAUCUUGGUCUUAAAAGGGGGAAAAAUCAUCCGAUGUAGAAGAAUUGUUUAUGUUGUUUCUGUACUUGUGCAUUUCCUCAAUAACUCUUCUCUCUUCCCUCGAGGUAAAUGUUGAACUGACACUGACGUCGACCUUCACCUGGACAAAGACCUGACGUUGGACUUGUUCUGCUUAUUCUUUUAAUUCUAAUAAAAACAAGAUAGAAAAAGAAUCCACACUCUGCCUUCCCUGCUUCCUCUUCCUCAGUUGUAAAACAUUUCCAGUCUGUAACGUGGUCGAUGUCCUCACAUGUUUCAGUAGAGACGAACUGUGAGACCAUGUAACUCAACUGUCUCAUAUUACUGCAACUCACUCCUCUGUGGCAUCAGCUCCAUCAACAGACUCCAACUGGUCCAGAACGCAGCCGCCCGUCAUCACCCCGAUCCUGAAACAACUCCACUGGCUCCGUCUCCCACCGAAUUACCUUCAAGAUUGAGGAGGAUCUGGAGGCAGACCGCAGACGACACAAGAUGGCGCCAGUGAGUCGACUUCUUCAACAACGACUGAACAAACACUGACAUGAUAAAUUCAAUAUUCAGGUGGACAAAGAGGAGACAUGACUGCAGAAAGGCAGCAGAGUGCGUCGAGACAAACCAUCAGCCAGUUCCCAGUGAACUGGAUCUGGGGGAAACGGAGGUGUCUCAGGCUGUGAAAAACUGGAUGUCAAGUAGACAUCUUCGAGUUCUCUUUGUGCAUAAAGUUAAGUCAAAUAUUUGUAGUUCAUACUUUACCUUGAGCACGGUACUCCCUGGAGGCGGCACAGUGAGAACUGAGACUCCAUGGCUCACACCUCCCGUCCGCCAGCAGCGCGCAGACCAACAGUCCUUACCUUCUAAAUAUGAAUCAAUUGUUCAGACAAGACUAGUUGAAGUCUGAGGUGCUCGGAGCAGCUAAUCCCCGAGCUGUGAUGUCACACUGAAGGGCACGUUCGUCCCUCUGGAAAAGAAGUAAUCGACCUUGACCCCAGGGGACUACAGACCGCGUGAGACGGCUUCACAAUCCUGAGACUCUGAAUCCAGCUGUGCUCCCGAGACUAAUUAUGACCUUUUCUUUCAUUACAAUUAUCAAAAUGAGGCGAGAACCUAAUCAUAUUACAACCAGAUAUCGUGUGUGUGUGUGUGUGUGUGUUCCAUGACUAACUGAAAAGCUCGGUCUAACGCUCCUGUGCCGUGCGUGUGGAUUAACUGUAUGAACAAGCGAGGCCACUGGUGUGCGACUUGUUGUCACUGUGGCAGCACCAGUGAUCAUGACAAUCAACUUAAUGAUGAUGAGUUAUGAGAAUACAGUCUGUUGGUGUGGUGCAGCUAUGAGGCCAUCACGCGUAUUGAUUGAUUUUCUCUGCUCCUGUUUUGUAAGAUUGUAAAACCGGCACAGAUUUCCAUACGUUCCCUUUUCUCAUUCCUCCGCUGACCUUCGGGGUUCUCUUAGCAUUUCUAAAGGUGCGUUCACCCACAACGUGGAGCGAAUCUUGAUGAUAUCCGUUUGAAAUCAACUUGUGGACCAAACUCAUGUUAGCUCUAAACUAGCAGGGAUGUGCACAUAUUUUAUAUUUAAUCUGUGUUCACCGUGUGCACAAGUGCGAGCGCUAAAAUUCUCUUCACACACACGACGUCUUUGGCUUUGGUUUUGUGUGUGCGAGAAGAAAUGGUUAUUUUUUGCCAUCUCACGCAAUUUAGAGGUGGAACGCAAUGUUAUAUGUUCUGUGCUGCCACAAAAUGUAUCUAGGCUUAGAUUUAUACUGUAUAUCUCUGUAUGUUUCCCUUCAUUUUUCAAUAGAUUAUCAUGUUAAACCAUCAAAUAAAGGAUAUACAUUGUACCUGUGGAUUUGACAAGCUGCAAACGCUGCACGACUACAAGGCAGACGAAUGCAAUUCAUUGCAGUUUAGAACUUGGGAUAAAUACAUUUGAAGACUUGGACGAGAUGUCAAGCCCCAGUGUGAUGAGGUCAUUCUCUGGCGGCAUCUGGUGGUGAAGUUGCAAACUGCAGCCAACUGAGCACAACUUUCAUAAAUGAGGGUUGUGUGAGUAUGUAUCCCAUCUUCACCACUCAGGUGAAGAAAUGGUGAAUCCAACAACUCGUUACAGACUAAGGAUAAAGUAGAGUCAGUGUCACAACUAAUAUUCAUCUUUAUCUUCAUUUGUUUUGCAGUUUUUUGACUCUUCCUCCUGAUCAUCAAAUCAACCUUUAACGGGACAAAUCGGGGGAAUCCGCCUUUAAUUAAUUAGCAGCUGGUGGUACCUGAUUACAGUGGCAGCACCUGGGCCGACUCGGGCAGCCAAUCAGCGUCCGCCCUGCGCACUGAUAUAGUUUGGGCAGCUCGCGGCGCGAGCGCAUAGGAAACGAACCGAGACACGAGAAGACACGGGUCGAGACGAGUCCAGACGAGUAGACACGAAGAUACGAGAAGACACGAGUCGUCACGAGUCCGGUUCACGGUUCAACACGUUGAACGUUGUGAACCUCGUUACUGCACAAGUUGUCAAGUUACAACGAACUGUGGAGACGAUUUGUGUCGAGUGAGUGAAACGACCGGACGAGACCUCACCUGCGGCGUCCAGGUGAAUGUUGAACUGUGUGGAAGAAGAUGAUCAGACAGACACGGACUCAGUGAUGUGGACCUGCCUGGCCCUUCUCCUGGGCCCUUCACCUGGGCCCUUCACCUGGGCCCUUCACCUGGGUUCAUAUCAAGGAUGAAUCGCUCCUGAACGUUGAGGAAGAGAUGAUCUGGACAAAGGGGCGGAGCCAGGGAUGUUUUAUUUCUUUCUUUAACAUUUUUUAACAUGAUUCAGAGAAUAAUUCAUGGAUUUUGAUGAAUGAGACCAAACAAUG